UACGGGGGGAGCAAGCGUUGUUCGGAUUUACUGGGCGUAAAGGGCGCGUAGGCGGCCACCGCAAGUCGACUGUGAAAUCUCCGGGCUUAACUCGGAAAGGUCAGCCGAUACUGCGGGGCUAGAGUGCAGAAGGGGCAACUGGAAUUCUCGGUGUAGCGGUGAAAUGCGUAGAUAUCGAGAGGAACACCUGCGGCGAAGGCGGGUUGCUGGGCCGACACUGACGCUGAGGCGCGAAAGCCAGGGGAGCGAACGGG
This 254-nucleotide ribosomal RNA is filed under the name uncultured bacterium. RNAcentral's name for it is "partial 16S ribosomal RNA". It matches the Rfam family "Bacterial small subunit ribosomal RNA", at positions 524 to 776 of the family's 1533-position model. The record is from RNAcentral.